AUCGAUUGACAUAGACAUUAUUGU
This 24-nucleotide non-coding RNA is filed under the name Gossypium hirsutum (cotton). Lineage: Eukaryota; Viridiplantae; Streptophyta; Magnoliopsida; Malvales; Malvaceae. The record is from RNAcentral.